GUAGCUAUAGCUCAGUUGGUUAGAGCAUCAGAUUGUGAUUCUGAGGGUCGUGGGUUCGAGCCCCAUUAGUUACC
This 74-nucleotide transfer RNA is filed under the name Chitinophagaceae bacterium. RNAcentral describes it as "tRNA-His". It matches the Rfam family "tRNA". From Rfam's summary of the family: Transfer RNA (tRNA) molecules are approximately 80 nucleotides in length. Lineage: Bacteria; Pseudomonadati; Bacteroidota; Chitinophagia; Chitinophagales; Chitinophagaceae. The record is from RNAcentral.